GACAUAGAUAUUGCGACCGUAGUUUCUUCAUUAUUAUUUAGCGGAUUCACCAUCGUUCUUACGUAUUUCCUUCUCGGUAUCGCUUCGUUAUCAAUAGUUAUUUUACCACUCCUUAAUCUCAUGCAAUGAAGUUAAAGGAAAUAUAAAAAAAUGAAGAACUUCUCAAUAUUUCAAAAGAUUUUAACAAUAGCACUAGUUCCACUGGGGAUGCUAAUUUGUUUACCGUCGAAAUUGGUAAAUAAACGCUAGUCUUCCAAAUUCAAAAUGCUUUGGUUACUCACAGGAUCGACUAGAUUGAUCCUAGGACAUGUGCUUUUGUUAAUUUAGGUUUUGUAAAUGAUGAACAUUUCGACAAUGUUCUUGGCUUGAAAAUAACGUUUGAAGUUUAAGAGUAAAUACAUAAAUAUAAAGAGACGAU
This 418-nucleotide long non-coding RNA is filed under the name Lathyrus oleraceus (garden pea). RNAcentral describes it as "Pisum sativum (pea) long non-coding RNA (PSAT_LNC026547)". Lineage: Eukaryota; Viridiplantae; Streptophyta; Magnoliopsida; Fabales; Fabaceae. The record is from RNAcentral.